AAGAGGGCCCUGCACCCCAUGGGAGACCAGGAUAAGCACCUAGCUCCUGCCUUCGGAUCAGGGCGGUGCGCUUUGCCGCAGCACGCCGGCCAUGGCCGCCAUUGGAGGGUGAACCAACGGCCAAAGGAAGACCUUUCUCUCUGUUUCUCUCUCUCUCACUGUCCACUCUGCCUGUAAAAAAAAAAAAAAAAAAAAAAAAAAAAAAAAAAAAAACCCUGCUUCCACCAUAACAGGAAGAGAGGCUCCUAUGUCCCUUCCCUUCAGCUCAUCCACCAUCCCCAUCUACAUCUUCUUCCCCUCCAAGACAUGCUGCCCAAAUCUCCAAAUAAUACCCUAACUUACACUGGGCCAACAGCCAUGGGCUUCUCUCCCAAGCCUCUCCUCUGGUCCCAAAAGGGGAAGGAACAGUGUAUUCGUACUUUCAGAAUGAGUACCUCCAGGAAAUCGGGGUAGAAGGCUCUGCCACGCAAGGGUGAUUCUGUAAUCUGGAAUUCUAAAUUUAGCAAGUGAUAUGAUCCAUGCUGAGCGAGUUUCUUCCUUUGCCUCAACUUCCUUCCACCUAUCAGCAGAAAUGAAAAGUUCAUGGAAGUCACACUUUCUCUGUCAGCCUCCAGUUAUUUGGAAAACUCCACCUAAGGAAUUUUCAAAGUCACUGCGUUCUUUGAAGUCUUCUGUUAUUGUUACAAUGGGACAUGUUCUCUGGGGCUGGCCAGCCAAGCAAGGGAGAGAGAGCUUCUUGUUUCUUCCUUUCACGGAGGAGGCGUGUGGUGCUGCAGCCGCAGUUUUGUGAUCCGGAGGGGACAGCUCCAGCGACCAAGAAGCUGAGCUAGGCCGGCACUGCAGCUAACUAGGCUAAUCCUCUGUCUGCAGCGACGGCACCCAGGGUUCUAGUCCCCGUCGGGGCGCCGGAUUCUGUCCCAGUCGCUCCUCUUCCAGGCCAGCUCUCUGCUGUGGCCCAGGGAGUGCAGUGGAGGAUGGCCCAAGUGCUUGGGCUCUGCACCCACAUGGGAGACCAGGAGAAGCACCCAGCUCCUGACUUCGGAUCAGCGCAGUGCACUGGCCACAGCGGCCAUUUGGGGUGACCCAACGGAAAAGGAAGACCUCUCUCUGUCUCUCUCUCUCACCUGUCCACUCUGCCUGUAAAAAAAAAAAAUAAAAAAAAAAAAAAAGGAAGCUGAGCCA
Molecule: long non-coding RNA, 1182 nt
Filed under: Oryctolagus cuniculus (rabbit)
Lineage: Eukaryota; Metazoa; Chordata; Mammalia; Lagomorpha; Leporidae
Description: lncRNA (ENSOCUG00000038837.1)
Source: RNAcentral